CACGUAGGGACCAAGCGUUGUCCGGAUUCAUUGGGCGUAAAGGGCGCGUAGGCGGCGGGGUAAGUCGGGUGUGAAAUCUCAGAGCUCAACUCUGAAACUGCACUCGAUACUGCUCUGCUUGAGGACUGGAGAGGAGACUGGAAUUCACGGUGUAGCAGUGAAAUGCGUAGAUAUCGUGAGGAAGACCAGUGGCGAAGGCGGGUCUCUGGACAGUUCCUGACGCUGAGGCGCGAAGGCCAGGGGAGCAAACGGG
RNAcentral lists this ribosomal RNA (253 nucleotides) under uncultured bacterium. Its description in RNAcentral is "partial 16S ribosomal RNA". It matches the Rfam family "Bacterial small subunit ribosomal RNA", at positions 524 to 776 of the family's 1533-position model. The record is from RNAcentral.